AUCUGCUUACUUUCAGGAUCGCCAUUCUGGUGUGGGAGGCAGGUCGUCGAGGACUUCAAUUACUAUCCUUGUAUGCGAAGUUGUUCCUCUCAAUAAUACGACACAGCGUAUGGUGGACAAUGUCCUAUCUAAAGCCCUUGGCUAUGCCAGACAUCCACAUGGCUGACUCUACACAACGACGUCAAUCUUUCGGCAUCGGUAAAAGCUAGAUAAUAAGAAAGGCAAUUGUGGCUGGCAUGGAUUUGAUCUGCCACAAGAACGACUUCUGCGUCAUGGCACCAACCGGAGCAGCAGCCGACGCUAUGGGGGAGAUACUUACCUAACUUCCCUUGGAAUUUCCCUUAACCGAUCUAUGCGAAGAAGAAUGGGGCCCAGAAUCCGCAGACCGUUGGUCGCGGAAGACCAUAAUGGUCAUAUACGAGUCAACCGGUUUAGAGGCUCCUGAGGAUUGAGACAAACUAGGACGGGAAGCUCUUGUGCGACAAAUUCAAACAAGCAAUUCUGCUGGAUGAGGAAAUGCGACAAACGGAGGAUGUAACAUCUUCAAGUGUGCAAGAAGAGGUUCAUUUAACCUACAAUGACGUGCUCACCGUGAAUUUAAAACAAUCACAUUUCUUGCAGCUCCCCAGCUGAAAAACAAAUAGUCAUUGACAAACGCAACAGCCUCCUACAUGUUAUAAACUGUAUCCGGAUUGAACGCUUCGCGCGAUCCAGAAACGAAAAAAAAAUCUUCCCUGCUCUCCAGUAUUGCACCACAUCCCCUAGGACCGACAGAUCACGAUCCCGUGCAAAUACCCUGCUUGGAGAAACCAAGUAGGGAGUAAACGAAGACCCUAUUCCUAUUCCUGUGACUCCUCCUAUACUCCUAUAGUGUCGCCUUCAACGAAAUCCAUAAUGAAGUAACAUCGGCAUCCGAAUAAUGUGCCUUGUGUCUUGGUAUUGAGAAUUUGAUAAACUUUAGGGACAGGUAUUGAUGUUUUUGCUUCAACUAACUUCGUGAUCUCUGCUUCACAUGGCCGUACAAGCUCACCUCCUUUGAGAACCAAUGUGCGGGAGAGACGCGCAAUGCGUGUUCCCUGGUAAUCAUGCAGCAAUGGCGCAAGUUUUGAAGAGUUCAAUCAGAGCUUCAUUGGAGACUUUGGGUAUAUCGUAGCCGUCGAGGGGAAACUUGGUCAGAGGCUGUCUGGUCGCAAGCUCGCAGCGCAUUUUCUAUCAGAGAGGGCUUCGGAUUAACUAUGGCGGAACAUUUUGUCUUACACCGAAAUUGGGUGUACCAAGGCGUACAGCUUUCGUCAUCCGGCAGUGAUCUUGUGUGAAUCAACUAUUACUAUUCUGUCAUGGAAGGUUGACCACACUUUGACAGACGGUCGGUGGUUUGAAUUGAGCGGGCCCGAGCUUGCACCGGAAGUUUUUCCGGCCGAAAAUUCUAAUUGAGCCUCCAGGGGUAACUCAUCUAUAAAGAUCCAUAGAUACUACUAGUAUGGGAAUAUACUAAUAUCAAGGAAGUUAAAUACAAUAAAUGUUUAACUAUUCAAAAUCCAUUGAAGAUUACUGGUGAAGAUUAUAGAAAUGAAGAUAAUAAUCCUGGUUUUAGAAAAAGUUUUAUUUCCGUACUCGUAUGCUCCCUUCACUCAAGUAUAAUCUAUCCUGUUAUCCUGUAUCUUAUGUUGUGUUGAAGAGAUCUAUUUUUUGAUGAAAAUUGCAUUUUCCUGUAUCUCUUGUAUGAGACUGCUAUAGAAAAGUUACCUCAAAUUGAAAAAGUUGCACUUACUCCUUUGCGAUGCCGCCGCGAAUAUUCAUGGCGUUUAUUACUUCCUGCCUAAUGAAAAUUCCAGAAACAGUUCCAUUCAGCACUAUCA
RNAcentral lists this small RNA (1859 nucleotides) under Histoplasma capsulatum. RNAcentral describes it as "hypothetical RNA". Lineage: Eukaryota; Fungi; Ascomycota; Eurotiomycetes; Onygenales; Ajellomycetaceae. The record is from RNAcentral. RNAcentral also lists the same sequence under 1 other name.